CCUCACCACCGGUGUUCCCCUCUCCACCCCCGACACCGGUUUACUCACCUCCACCGGUGUUCUCGCCUCCGCCACCGGUGCUCUCUUCCCCACCACCACCAUCACCGCCACCGCCAUCUCCUUCGCCUCCACCACCUCCAGUUUACUCCCCUCCUCCACCUCCACCAGUUUACUCACCUCCACCACCCCCUCCUCCCCCACCGCCACCACCACCUGUUUAUUUUCCGCCACCACCUCCACCUUCACCACCACCACCGUCUCCCCCUCCACCCUCACCCCCACCACCUUCUCCAUCACCGCCUCCCCCUCCCUCGCCACCACCACCGGUAUUAUCGCCCCCGCCUCCAGUUUAUUGCGUCCGUUCCCCACCACCGCCACCGCCAAAUUCUCCCCCGCCUCCCAUUUAUUCUCCACCACCACCUCCAGUUCAUUCACCGCCCCCACCAAGUCCUUACUAUAGUUCACCACCGCCCCCGCCGCCACAUCAUUCACCUCCACCACCUCCCCACUCGCCACCCCCGCCUCCACCUAUCUAUCCAUACGCAUCACCGCCACCGCCACCCGUGCAUUCCCCACCACCACCUGUCCAUUCUCCACCACCUCCAUGCAUAGAACCGCCUCCUCCUUCUCCACCACCCCCAUCACCACCUCCAUGCAUAGAACCGCCUCCUCCUCCUUCUCCACCACCAUGUGUAGAAUAUUCGCCACCUCCACCAUCACCACACUCACCACCGCCACCACCAGUUCAUUACUUGCCUCCACCAUCACCAUCACCCCCACCACCACCUGUGUAUGCUUCUCCGCCACCUCCACCAUCUCUGCCUCCCCCAGUUUACUACCAUUCUCCGCCCCCACCCUCACCACCUCCUCCAACCCCAUGUGAAAAUCCUCCACCUACUCCAUCACCACCGCCCCCAAUCAUUUAUGAGAGCCCACCACCUCCAACCCCUGUAUAUGAGGGGCCAUUGCCACCAAUCUUUGGAGUUUCAUACGCUUCUCCACCGCCACCAC
RNAcentral lists this long non-coding RNA (1011 nucleotides) under Vitis vinifera (wine grape). RNAcentral describes it as "long non-coding RNA (VVIN_LNC003405)". Lineage: Eukaryota; Viridiplantae; Streptophyta; Magnoliopsida; Vitales; Vitaceae. The record is from RNAcentral.